RNAcentral lists this long non-coding RNA (737 nucleotides) under Daphnia magna. Its description in RNAcentral is "uncharacterized LOC123469661". The record is from RNAcentral. Lineage: Eukaryota; Metazoa; Arthropoda; Branchiopoda; Diplostraca; Daphniidae.
UUUAUCUUCCAUUCCAUUCAUAAUUGGAUUACGAAAUUCCUUCGUUAUCAGUCCUACAUUUUGUUUGAGUGAUCUCUUUCAUCUGUCGUCCGCAUCUGACAGUGUUUUUGUUCUUCUUCGACAUGUCUUGGAGGUGUUGUGUUUCUGGUUGUGGUUCCGAAGGAGUACCUUUAUUUCGUAUUCCAAAAUUUAAUGAAAAUUUAAAAACUGCUUUGCAAGAAAAAAAAGGGAACGUAGAAUUGUUUGGCUUCAAAAGCUUAACGUGAAGGAAUGUGACUUAAACAACAACACUCGUGUUUGCUCUCGUCAUUUUGCAUCUGGUAGGCCAUGUAAGAAUUCUUUCGAUAACUCUCACCCAGACUGGGCACCUUAACUACACAUCAGAAAUUCCAUUUUUGACAGGGUUGUACAGAGAAACAUUAGUCGACAUUCCAGAAGGCUUGAAAGGGAAUCAAGAACAUUGGAACAGAUCAUAAAUAGGGUAAAGGUAUUCAGCCCUGUGUAAAACAGGCACUUUUUUUCAUCAACACUAAUUUCAGUAAACAACUGGCAUUUUCCUCUUUCAUUCAAAUUAUUCACUUGUUGUUGAAGGGUUUUUUCAGAUGCAGUUAACUGCUCAUUCAUUCUACGUAAUUUCUCAUUUUCAACAAGUAGACAGUCCCUUUCCCUUGUCAUCAGUUCCAACAUUUUGUAGACUCCAGUAGCCUAAAAUGAAAUACAUUAUUUAAAAAUGAAAA